CGUUUGUUUUAUUGUCCGAGAGAUAUUUGGAACCGAGCGUUAUUUACAUUCGUAAUCGAAUCGCCAACGAGCGUUUCCAUUAUUAUCCACUGCUGUUUUUCAGGACGAUUUUCUCGGAGGAUUUUUCUCGUGUACGUAUUUUCAAACGACGGACACUGACUUUGCAAAUGACAGCCGCCCCAUCAAAACACAACGACUUUGAUACGCUUAACGCGUUAAUAUCACGUGCGUGUACACCGACUGCAGAUUGCAAUAUACUGUUAUAAUAUGUCGCUGGAACACGUCUCCGGGCUUCGGUUUCGAAUCCAUACCGGAGGCGUAUCGUGAUAGGGAAGGGCGUUAUCAUCUAAUAGUGACCGGGCUAUACGAAAUCUAUUACCCUUUCCUACUAACUCCGACGGCGGCGUGUUACGGAGGUCGUGGUAGACAUUCUCUUUACCGAUCCAUUUUGAAAAGCCAAAGUCAAAUGAAAUAAUCAAAAAUCGAUAUUACGAGGCGUGGCGGUAAAACGGCAACCAUAACACGUUGUCGCGAACCCGAUCGCGUCGAGUAUUCAACUUACGUAUCGGUGACAAAUUGGCCGACCGCUGGAUCGCGAUUGAUAAACGAAAAGCACCCUUUAUGUGCAUUUUAAUCAGCUGUAUAAACCGGAAAAAAUCGGUUUCUGAGGCCGGGAGGAUAACCGACAAGUACCUAUUACCGUUUGAUACAACGUGCCCGAUA
Cinara cedri is the source of this 723-nucleotide non-coding RNA. Lineage: Eukaryota; Metazoa; Arthropoda; Insecta; Hemiptera; Aphididae. The record is from the annotation of a GenBank genome assembly.